Molecule: long non-coding RNA, 205 nt
Filed under: Elaeis guineensis (African oil palm)
Lineage: Eukaryota; Viridiplantae; Streptophyta; Magnoliopsida; Arecales; Arecaceae
Description: long non-coding RNA (EGUI_LNC058186)
Source: RNAcentral
UUGAUGAACCAUUAGAAAUUCUUUCUAAUGUUCAUUCUUACUUUGAUCAGAGACUCUCUGAGUUAUCAUCCUAUGAGACCACAUAGGAUAUUUUUUCCUCUUAAAAAGAGUGAGUGAUUCUUUAUUGACCACUCACAAUCUUUAUGCAUAUUUCAUCAUAUCCAAAACAUCCCACACAUGUCUCAAAGAGUUAUGCUAGAGUAUG